RNAcentral lists this ribosomal RNA (425 nucleotides) under uncultured bacterium. RNAcentral describes it as "bacterial SSU rRNA". It matches the Rfam family "Bacterial small subunit ribosomal RNA", at positions 354 to 796 of the family's 1533-position model. The record is from RNAcentral.
GUGGGGAAUAUUGCACAAUGGGCGAAAGCCUGAUGCAGCGACGCCGCGUGAGUGAAGAAGUAUCUCGGUAUGUAAAGCUCUAUCAGCAGGGAAGAAAAUGACGGUACCUGACUAAGAAGCCCCGGCUAACUACGUGCCAGCAGCCGCGGUAAUACGUAGGGGGCAAGCGUUAUCCGGAUUUACUGGGUGUAAAGGGAGCGCAGACGGCGAUGCAAGUCUGGAGUGAAAGCCCGGGGCUCAACCCCGGGACUGCUUUGGAAACUGUAUGGCUAGAGUGCUGGAGAGGCAAGCGGAAUUCCUAGUGUAGCGGUGAAAUGCGUAGAUAUUAGGAAGAACACCAGUGGCGAAGGCGGCUUGCUGGACAGUAACUGACGUUCAGGCUCGAAAGCGUGGGGAGCAAACAGGAUUAGAAACCCCGGUAGUCC